Molecule: long non-coding RNA, 619 nt
Filed under: Elaeis guineensis (African oil palm)
Lineage: Eukaryota; Viridiplantae; Streptophyta; Magnoliopsida; Arecales; Arecaceae
Description: long non-coding RNA (EGUI_LNC079164)
Source: RNAcentral
AUAAUUAAGCUUCUAUAAUAAAUAAAGUACAAUUAAUGCCCAAAAAAAUGAGACAAAAAUCAGAUAAAAACUGGUUCAUAAUGAAUAAGUGGAUCAUAAUUUGUGAUUAUAAAAAUUUUCCGAAUGUCUAAUAGAAAAUACACAUGUAUAAUUCACAAACUUGUGGCAUGCGUGAGUCUAGAAAAAACAAGGCAUAAGUCAGUAGUCUACAGAUACAUCGUUGCCCUUCUGUGGCAGUCCUACAUCAUUCCAAUGUCCUAUCGCUUUCAUUUCUAAAUAGUUUCUCGGAGAAUAUCAAACCACAUGUAGUGGAAGUCAUCAUGUCACCCCACUUCUCUGAGACUCUGAAUGAUCAUGAUGGAGAUUUAGUAAAAUGAAUUAAAAAAGAAAAGGAAAAAAAAAAAAGGCAUGAAUCAUGGAACAUUGGUGGAUUGGCGCGUAAAACACGGUACAGAGCUCGCAAUUUGCGCCACCGAUUUCCUAACGCGGAUUUAGAAGAUCUCUCCCAUAUUUUCGUUAAAGGUGAAGACAUGGACGAAAACAAGAUGUGAAUCUCAUUAUUGGAACAUCUUUGCUGGCUUUCUUAAACCAAUUAAGCAACAAUUAAUAGCUCGAAUGG